RNAcentral lists this ribosomal RNA (197 nucleotides) under Ligilactobacillus salivarius. RNAcentral's name for it is "partial 23S ribosomal RNA". It matches the Rfam family "Bacterial large subunit ribosomal RNA", at positions 1 to 189 of the family's 2925-position model. The record is from RNAcentral. Lineage: Bacteria; Bacillati; Bacillota; Bacilli; Lactobacillales; Lactobacillaceae.
AUAUUAGGUUAAGUUAUUAAGGGCGUAUGGUGGAUGCCUUGGCACUAGGAGCCGAUGAAGGACGUGACUAACUGCGAUAUGCUUCGGGGAGUUGUAAGUAAACUAUGAUCCGGAGAUUUCCGAAUGGGGAAACCUAACAGGUUUUACCGCCUGUUAUCACUAAGUGAAUUCAUAGCUUAGUUGAAGGUAGACGUGGG